Long non-coding RNA from Penaeus chinensis, 258 nucleotides. RefSeq lists it as uncharacterized. The transcript has 3 exons. The record is from RefSeq and is a predicted model, not a curated record. Lineage: Eukaryota; Metazoa; Arthropoda; Malacostraca; Decapoda; Penaeidae.
ACGGAGUCAGUUUGCAAUCGUGAGGCUGUGCUUGCGUGUACUGGACGCGGACAAGGUGAUACCCCGUAGGUCUUAGCACGCUGUCGAGGGUCUCUUCCCAAUAGCCAGGGCGACUUCGAUUGACCCCCUGAGGACAAGCACUUCUGACUGAAUAUUGACUUGCUCCAUCAGAAUGCCUAAAAAAAAAUUCAGAGAAGGUCCCUUUGAAGCAAGUGGUGAAGGAGAUGCAAAAAAACUAAGAGGAACCAGGAGAAGGAA